RNAcentral lists this ribosomal RNA (348 nucleotides) under uncultured Bacillus sp. RNAcentral's name for it is "bacterial SSU rRNA". It matches the Rfam family "Bacterial small subunit ribosomal RNA", at positions 1036 to 1382 of the family's 1533-position model. Lineage: Bacteria; Bacillati; Bacillota; Bacilli; Caryophanales; Bacillaceae. The record is from RNAcentral.
AGGUGGUGCAUGGUUGUCGUCAGCUCGUGUCGUGAGAUGUUGGGUUAAGUCCCGCAACGAGCCGCAACCCUUGUCUUUAGUUGUCCAUUCAUUAAGUUGGGCACUCUAAAGAGACUGCCGAUGACAAAACGGAGGAAGGUGGGAUGACGUCAAAUCAUCAUGCCCCUUAUGUUCUGGGCUACACACGUGCUACAAUGGCCGGUACAGACGGACGCAAAGCCGCGAGGUGGAGCAAAUCCUAAAAAGCCGGUACUCAGUUCGGAUUGCAGGCUGCAAUUCGCCUGCAUGAAGUCGGAAUCGCUAGUAAUCGCAGGUCAGCAUACUGCGGUGAAUACGUUCCCGGGCCUU